UACGUAGGUGGCAAGCGUUGUCCGGAUUUAUUGGGUUUAAAGGGUGCGUAGGCGGCCUUGUAAGUCAGUGGUGAAAUACUCUAGCUUAACUAGAGGGGUGCCAAUGAUACUGCAGGGCUUGAGUACAGAUGAGGUAGGCGGAAUUGGCGGUGUAGCGGUGAAAUGCAUAGAUAUCGUCAAGAACACCUAUAGCGAAGGCAGCUUACUGGGCUGUAACUGACGCUGAGGCACGAAAGUGUGGGGAUCAAACAGG
This 253-nucleotide ribosomal RNA is filed under the name uncultured bacterium. Its description in RNAcentral is "partial 16S ribosomal RNA". It matches the Rfam family "Bacterial small subunit ribosomal RNA", at positions 524 to 776 of the family's 1533-position model. The record is from RNAcentral.